GAUGAACGCUGGCGGCGUGCCUAAUACAUGCAAGUCGAGCGAACGGACGAGAAGCUUGCUACUCUGAUGUUAGCGGCGGACGGGUGAGUCACACGUGGAUAACCUACCUAUAAGACUGGGAUAACUUCGGGAAACCGUAGCUAAUACCGGAUAAUAUUUUGAACCGCAUGGUUCCAAAGUGAAAGACGGUCUUGCUGUCACUUCUAGAUGGAUCCGCGCUGCAUUAGCUAGUUGGUAAGGUAACGGCUUACCAAGGCAACGAUGCAUAGCCGACCUGAGAGGGUGAUCGGCCACACUGGAACUGAGACACGAUCAAGACGCCUACGGGAGGCAGCAGUAGGGAAUCUUCCGCAAUGGGCGAAAGCCUGACGGAGCAACGCCGCGUGAGUGAUGAAGGUCUUCGGAUCGUAAAACUCUGUUAUUAGGGAAGAACAUAUGUGGAAGUAACUGUGCACAUCUUGACGGUACCUAAACAGAAAGCCACGGCUAACUACGUG
Molecule: ribosomal RNA, 497 nt
Filed under: uncultured bacterium
Lineage: Bacteria
Description: partial 16S ribosomal RNA
Rfam family: Bacterial small subunit ribosomal RNA
Source: RNAcentral